Molecule: long non-coding RNA, 1599 nt
Filed under: Mytilus galloprovincialis (Mediterranean mussel)
Lineage: Eukaryota; Metazoa; Mollusca; Bivalvia; Mytilida; Mytilidae
Source: RNAcentral
UAAAUUAUCACGUUGUGAUUGGUUUAACGCCGUCACGUGGUGACCCCCUAUGGAUCUUAUAGGAGUUAGUAAAUUUCAUAGGGGGUUCAUGGCGUCACGUCUACUGUUAACGGUGACGUCAUCUAUUAAUGUUGUGUUUUAUUGUUUAUUUUUCUACAAAACGCAGCAGAAAAAGUCCCGCGUGCGAUAAAUUCGUUAUACGACUCACUACUGACCCCCUACGGACCAUAGAGGUGAAUAAAAUCCAUAGGGGAUUCGGCCUUUGGCCUCACCCCCUAUGGAUUUUACUAAUCCUCUAUGGAUCAGUAGGGGGUCAGUAGCGAACCAUAUAACUUAUACUGUCGUGCAGAGAAUCCCAGGAAUAGUAGAAAUUGAAAGAUCUUCUACCUUAGGUAAAAUAAGAAUAAAGUAAACACUUCAAAUUUUUUAGAGAAACGAUUACCUUCAUUUUUAUUACAAGGGAACACAAUUUUUUUUCUGAUGAUAUUCUUUUUAAAAAUGAUUAGUUUUGAAGUCUUUAGUUGCUACUCCAGGGUUUUAUAUAUAAGAUAUUAGUUCUCUGAACAAUCUUUAACUACUGAGCUUUAAGCAGCAAUAAAUAGUGCUUUGUUUUACAUUGACUAGGACGUCUAGUAAGAUUUGUUCAACUACGCAAUAAUUAUUUUCCUAUGCAUUUGUAUAUUUCUUUGUACUGCCAGCAUUGUUAUUUCAUUUAUUUAGACUCUGUUAAACAUUCCUGUUUUUCAUUGCCUGCAUGUACCUAAUCCUACAGCAUAACAAAUAUGUAUUUUUUUAAUAGUUUUAAUUGCUUCAAAAGCUGUAGAAUUGGAAAUAAAUGAAAAAUCCGAGGAAAGAACAUAUUCAUGUGACCUAAAACAAAUUUGUUGAAGUUUUGUUUUAACUAUUAUUUUUAUUUAGCUUGAAUGCUGCAAGUGACUGUGUGCCAAAGUUUGCAAUGCCUGGAUAAAUAAUGAGACUUUAUUUUAAUAUAAUUCUUAGAGCAGUAAAACUGCAGUAAUUUAACCCCAAUUACACUACAGUGUUUAUAUUAUUUAUUUAAUGUAGAAUAUAUGAAUUAGAUAUUACAGAGACAAGUCUUAUGUAUUUAUAAGAUCUAUUUCAGUGUUUCCAUGGAAGUAUGUUUGUUUAUGGUUAUUUUUGUAGAUUCUUUUUCUUUUGACCUACUGCACUUUAUUAACUCUGCUUACUUAAAAUUAAACUACCCAUUACUUCUAGUCAAAUUUGAAUAUUGUAAAAUUUAAUAAUUUCUGAAUCAAAUAUAUAAAUAAAUUUCUUUUUUUGCACAAGUUUCUGAGAAUUUCAAACAUAUAAAUUAUGACUGUAAUCAUGUAUGGUCAUAGGCUGUUUAAAAACAAAUAAUGAGAAACAGCGAAGGUCUAUUUCAUUCACUGUUGGUCAGAAGAUGUUGUGAUACAAAGAAUAACAAUUUGUCAAAUCAUAUCUCCUCUCAUCAUUUUAGUACGACGUUUAUUUGUAUAUUUGUCAUGGCUAAGAUUUAUAAUGUUUUUAAAACAUACAUUGUACUGUCAUAAGAACAUGCCUUAAUUUGUACAAUAAACAUAAAAAAUGCAACGUAAA